Beta vulgaris subsp. vulgaris (sugar beet) is the source of this 319-nucleotide long non-coding RNA. RefSeq lists it as uncharacterized. Lineage: Eukaryota; Viridiplantae; Streptophyta; Magnoliopsida; Caryophyllales; Amaranthaceae. The record is from RefSeq and is a predicted model, not a curated record. The transcript is spliced from 4 exons.
AAGAUCGUUCUUCUUCCUUACAUUGAAUCGAACCAUUGGACACUCAUUGCAAUAUGUGUGUCAAGUAACGAAGUCUACCACUUUGAUUCUUUGCGUAAAGAAACAAUACGGUCCUUACUAGUCAAAUCAUUGUUAAAUAGUGUGAUGAAGAAGAUUACUUCAUCUGGACUUCGACAAGGAAAAGCUCCUGUUUGGUAUUUAGUCGAGUGUCCGGUACAAGAAGGUGGACUUGCGUGUGGGUAUUACGUCAUGAGGUUCAUGCUCGAUAUCGUCAACUAUUGCAAAGAUGUUGUUGAUCUUCGAAAGGUAUGUAACUGUU